RNAcentral lists this transfer RNA (69 nucleotides) under Hexanchus griseus. RNAcentral describes it as "tRNA-Ala". The record is from RNAcentral. Lineage: Eukaryota; Metazoa; Chordata; Chondrichthyes; Hexanchiformes; Hexanchidae.
AUUUAUCUAGAAGAUUUUAGUUUAAUAAAAGCAUUUGGGUUGCAUUCAGAAGAUGUAAGAUAGAGUCUU